GAUGAAGAACGCAGCGAAAUGCGAUAAGUAAUGUGAAUUGCAGAAUUCAGUGAAUCAUCGAAUCUUUGAACGCACAUUGCGCCCCCCAGUAUUCUGGCGGGCAUGCCUGUUCGAGCGUCAUUUCAACCAUCAAGCCCUGCUUGUGUUGGGGUCCUGCGGCUGCCCGCAGGCCCUGAAAACCAGUGGCGGGCUCGCUAGUCACACCGAGCGCAGUAGCACAUCUCGCUCAGGGCGUGCGGCGGGCUCCAGCCGUUAAAGCACCCACCUUUCGCAAGGUUGACCUCGGAUCAGGUAGGAAUACCCGCUGAACUUAAGCAUAUCAAUAGCGGAGGA
RNAcentral lists this unclassified non-coding RNA (333 nucleotides) under soil metagenome. RNAcentral describes it as "partial contains 5.8S ribosomal RNA, internal transcribed spacer 2, and large subunit ribosomal RNA". The stretch from base 1 to 120 matches the Rfam family "5.8S ribosomal RNA", at positions 35 to 154 of the family's 154-position model. The record is from RNAcentral.